Molecule: small RNA, 645 nt
Filed under: human gut metagenome
Source: RNAcentral
UACUGAACAGCGGCGCAGUAUCCUAGUCAGAUCUGCCGUUUCCCAAGAGGGGCCUAAAAAUCCCUUAAAGGGCACAACUGUGAAACCUUUGGUGCUUGCUUCUUACGCCCAGUUUGGGGUGGGUGCUGGAGGGAGGCGCGAGCCAUCGCGCCUGCGGAUUCAGGGCGACCGCCAAUGGCAUGGCGGACCCGACCCGGUUUCCGUGGAGACCUGCUGUUGUGGGUGGGCGUACUCCCUUUGCGGUAGCGACCCAUCUACGAGGCAGAUGAUUUGAAACCUGCAAUGCGGUGCUUAAGGCAAGUUUUGCCGGAACGCUGUGUGCAGAGUAGCCUGCCUUGCGUGGAUAUGUGCGAAUAGGGGAGCUGAUGCCCGCGUAUCUCUGGCCGGAGAUGCCGGGUGAUUCCCUUGAAACCUUAUCUGCAAAAGAGGAUAAGAAACGGUUUGACUGCUGUGGAAAUCACCUAGGCUGUCCCGAAAGGGGGCCUCAAGGGGACUGCAGUGCGGACUAAGUGGCAGUCGGGUAUCGCACCGGGCAACCGUGCGGCGCGGCACCGAAAGGGAAACCGCCUCCAUCGGCGACGAGAGGUGUGCCGCGGGGAAAGCCAACCCGUACCUAAGCCGCAAGAUUAAUCCUUGAGACCGCCC